RNAcentral lists this transfer RNA (73 nucleotides) under Candidatus Parcubacteria bacterium. RNAcentral describes it as "tRNA-Met". It matches the Rfam family "tRNA". From Rfam's summary of the family: Transfer RNA (tRNA) molecules are approximately 80 nucleotides in length. The record is from RNAcentral. Lineage: Bacteria; Candidatus Parcubacteria.
GCCUCGAUAGCUCAGGGGUUAGAGCGAGCGUCUCAUAAGCGCUAGGUCGUGGGUUCGAAUCCCACUCGAGGCA